Long non-coding RNA from Plectropomus leopardus (leopard coralgrouper), 331 nucleotides. RefSeq lists it as uncharacterized. The record is from RefSeq and is a predicted model, not a curated record. NCBI's taxonomy places the organism in Eukaryota, Metazoa, Chordata, Actinopteri, Perciformes, Serranidae.
GAGUGUCGGUGGAGCUGAUCCUCAAGUUAAAGCUUUCACGAGAAAAGUUUGGGUACCAAAAACCAAAACAAAGACAGAGAAAAAGGAGAAGGUGACAGCAAGUUACCCAGUUCUUGACAAAGAAAGGCCAAACUACAGAUGCAGCUUCCUCCUCAGCAGGCCUGUCUCCCCCCACCAAUGACCCAGCCACACUCCCAGCUGAAGAAGGAGUGACUUUGUGAGGUCCAGGACUACACCUGCACUCCACUGCAGCAGGGUGACAAAGACACCACCAGAGGUCAGCAGAGACCAGCUUUUCAGGGGCUGUGAGAUACUCUCUCAAUGAUUUUGU